Molecule: ribosomal RNA, 445 nt
Filed under: uncultured bacterium
Lineage: Bacteria
Description: partial 16S ribosomal RNA
Rfam family: Bacterial small subunit ribosomal RNA
Source: RNAcentral
GUGAGGAAUAUUGGUCAAUGGACGGAAGUCUGAACCAGCCAAGUAGCGUGCAGGAUGACGGCCCUAUGGGUUGUAAACUGCUUUUAUGCGGGGGUAAAGUGAGUGACGUGUCAUUCAUUGCAAGUACCGCAAGAAUAAGGACCGGCUAAUUCCGUGCCAGCAGCCGCGGUAAUACGGAAGGUCCUGGUGUUAUCCGGAUUUAUUGGGUUUAAAGGGAGCGUAGGCCGUCAGGCAAGCGUGUUGUGAAAUGUCGUGGCUCAACCAUGGACGUGCAGCGCGAACUGCCCGACUUGAGUGCGCAGAAAGCAGGCGGAAUUUGUGGUGUAGCGGUGAAAUGCUUAGAUAUCACGAAGAACCCCGAUUGCGAAGGCAGCCUGCUGUAGCGCUACUGACGCUGAAGCUCGAAAGUGCGGGUAUCGAACAGGAUUAGAAACCCGGGUAGUCC